UAGAGUUUGAUCCUGGCUCAGGAUGAACGCUGGCGAGAUGCCUUACACAUGCAAGUCGUACGAGAAUUUUGAAUUCAAGUGGCGGACGGGUGAGUAACACGUAAGAAUUUACCUUUAGGAGGGGGAUAACAACUGGAAACGGUUGCUAAUACCCCAUAUGCUUUCGAGUGAAAUGGAUUUUCUGCCUAAAGGGAAGCUUGCGGCUGAUUAGCUUGUUGGUGAGGUAAUGGCUUACCAAGGCGACGAUCAGUAUCUGGUUUGAGAGGAUGAUCAGACACACUGGAACUGAGACACGGUCCAGACUUCUACGGGAGGCAGCAGUGGGGAAUUUUCCGCAAUGGGCGAAAGCCUGACGGAGCAAUCUCGCGUGAGGGAUGACGGCCUAUGGGUUGUAAACCUCUUUUUUCAGGAAGGAAUCAAAUGACGUGUACCUGAAGAAUAAGCAUCGGCUAACUCCGUGCUAGCAGCCGCGGUAAGACGGAGGAUGCAAGUGUUAUCCGGAAUCACUGGGCGUAAAGCGUCUGUAGGUGGUUUAGUAAGUCAACUGUUAAAUCUUGAAGCUCAACUUCAAAUCGCAGUCGAAACUAUUAGACUAGAGUAUAGUAGGGUAAAGGGAAUUUCCAGUGGAGCGGUGAAAUGCGUAGAGAUUGGAAAGAACACCGAUG
RNAcentral lists this ribosomal RNA (665 nucleotides) under uncultured organism. RNAcentral describes it as "bacterial SSU rRNA". It matches the Rfam family "Bacterial small subunit ribosomal RNA", at positions 1 to 714 of the family's 1533-position model. The record is from RNAcentral.